GUGGGAUGACGUCAAAUCAUCAUGCCCCUUAUGUUCUGGCUACACACGUGCUACAAUGGCCGGUACAGACGGACGCAAAGCCGCGAGGUGGAGCAAAUCCUAAAAAGACCGGUCUCAGUUCGGAUUGCAGGCUGCAAUUCGCCUGCAUGAAGUCGGAAUCGCUAGUAAUCGCAGGUCAGCAUACUGCGGUGAAUACGUUCCCGGGCCUU
Molecule: ribosomal RNA, 209 nt
Filed under: uncultured Bacillus sp.
Lineage: Bacteria; Bacillati; Bacillota; Bacilli; Caryophanales; Bacillaceae
Description: partial 16S ribosomal RNA
Rfam family: Bacterial small subunit ribosomal RNA
Source: RNAcentral